RNAcentral lists this transfer RNA (74 nucleotides) under Candidatus Shikimatogenerans bostrichidophilus. RNAcentral's name for it is "tRNA-Thr". It matches the Rfam family "tRNA". From Rfam's summary of the family: Transfer RNA (tRNA) molecules are approximately 80 nucleotides in length. Their secondary structure includes four short double-helical elements and three loops (D, anti-codon, and T loops). Lineage: Bacteria; Pseudomonadati; Bacteroidota; Flavobacteriia; Flavobacteriales. The record is from RNAcentral.
GCCGAUGUAGCUCAGUUUGGUAGAGCACGUGAUUUGUAAUCUCGUUGUCGUGGGUUCGAUCCCCUCCAUCGGCU